GAUAAACGCUGGCGGCGUGCCUAAUACAUGCAAGUUGAACGGAUGGCUUCGGCCAUGAGUAGCGAACGGGUGAGUAACACGUAGGUAACCUGCCUUGCUGACUGGGAUAACUGAACGAAAGUUUAGCUAAUACCGGAUAAAGGCCAUCAGGCAUCUGGUGGAGAAGAAAGGGGCCACGGCCCCACAGCAAGAUGGACCUGCGGCGCAUUAGCUAGUUGGUGAGGUAGCGGCCCACCAAGGUAAUGAUGCGUAGCCGAUCUGAGAGGAUGUACGGCCACAUUGGAACUGAGACACGGUCCAGACUCCUACGGGAGGCAGCAGUAGGGAAUUUUCGGCAAUGGGGGGAACCCUGACCGAGCAACGCCGCGUGAACGAAGAAGGCCU
This 384-nucleotide ribosomal RNA is filed under the name uncultured bacterium. Its description in RNAcentral is "bacterial SSU rRNA". It matches the Rfam family "Bacterial small subunit ribosomal RNA", at positions 28 to 417 of the family's 1533-position model. The record is from RNAcentral.